AACGCACAUUGCGCCCCUUGGUAUUCCGGGGGGCAUGCCUGUUCGAGCGUCAUUACAACCCUCAAGCUCUGCUUGGUCUUGGGCGUCACCGGUCCCCGGUGUGCCUUAAAAUCAGUGGCGGCGCCGCCUGGCUCUCAGCGUAGUACACACUCCCGCUACAGACGCCCGGUGGAUGCUGGCCAGCAACCCCCAUUUCUCAAGGUUGACCUCGGAUCAGGUAGGGAUACCCGCUGAACUUAA
This 240-nucleotide unclassified non-coding RNA is filed under the name uncultured fungus. RNAcentral describes it as "sequence contains ITS2". The record is from RNAcentral. Lineage: Eukaryota; Fungi.